UACGAAGGGGGCUAGCGUUGCUCGGAAUCACUGGGCGUAAAGCGCACGUAGGCGGCUUUCUAAGUCAGGGGUGAAAUCCUGGAGCUCAACUCCAGAACUCCCUUUGAUACUGAAGAUCUUGAGUUCGGGAGAGGUGAGUGGAACUGCGAGUGUAGAGGUGAAAUUCGUAGAUAUUCGCAAGAACACCAGUGGCGAAGGCGGCUCACUGGCCCGAUACUGACGCUGAGGCACGAAAGCGUGGGGAGCAAACAGG
Molecule: ribosomal RNA, 253 nt
Filed under: uncultured bacterium
Lineage: Bacteria
Description: partial 16S ribosomal RNA
Rfam family: Bacterial small subunit ribosomal RNA
Source: RNAcentral